CCUACGGGGGGCAGCAAUGAGGAAUAUUGGUCCAUGGGCGCGAGCCUUAACCAGCCAAGUAGCGUGAAGGAUGACUGCCCUACGGGUUGUAAACUUCUUUUAUAAAGGAAUAAAGUGAGGCACGUGUGCCUUUUUGUAUGUACUUUAUGAAUAAGGAUCGGCUAACUCCGUGCCAGCCGCCGCGGUAAUACGGCGGAUCCGAGCGUUAUCCGGAUUUAUUGGGUUUAAAGGGAGCGUAGAUGGGUUGUUAAGUCAGUUGUGAAAGUUUGCGGCUCAACCGUAAAAUUGCAAUUGAUAAUGACAGCCUUGAGUACAGUUGAGGUAGGCGGAAUUCGUGGUGUAGCGGUGAAAUGCUUAGAUAUCACGAAGAACUCCGAUUGCGAAGGCAGCUUACUAAACUGCCACUGACAUUGAUGCUCGAAAGUGUGGGUAUCAAACAGGAUUAGAUACCCCAGUAGUC
This 460-nucleotide ribosomal RNA is filed under the name uncultured bacterium. RNAcentral describes it as "partial 16S ribosomal RNA". It matches the Rfam family "Bacterial small subunit ribosomal RNA", at positions 338 to 795 of the family's 1533-position model. The record is from RNAcentral.